AUCAGCAUGCCGCGGUGAAUACGUUCCCGGGCCUUGUACACACCGCCCGUCACACCAUGGGAGCCGGUAAUACCCGAAGUCAGUAGUCCAACCUCGUGAGGACGCUGCCGAAGGUAGGAUUGGCGACUGGGUGAAGUCGUAACAAGGUACC
This 151-nucleotide ribosomal RNA is filed under the name uncultured bacterium. RNAcentral's name for it is "partial 16S ribosomal RNA". It matches the Rfam family "Bacterial small subunit ribosomal RNA", at positions 1348 to 1500 of the family's 1533-position model. The record is from RNAcentral.